GAAAUGUGAUAAGUAAUGUGAAUUGCAGAAUUCAGUGAAUCAUCGAAUCUUUGAACGCACCUUGCGCUCCCUGGUAUUCCGGGGAGCAUGCCUGUUUGAGUGUCAUGAACUCUUCAACCCACCAGUUUCUAGUAGACUGCGUUGGUGUUUGGAUUUUGAGCGUUGCUAGUCUGACUAGCUCGUUCGUAAUACAUUAGCAUCUCUAAUUCGAAUUCGGAUUGACUCAGUGUAAUAGACUAUUCGCUGAGGACACCUUUAUUGGUGGCCGUACUAGAACCAGUAGAAGCUUCCAACUAUUGUAGUCAACUUUAAUUUAGACCUCAGAUCAGGCAGGAUUACCCGCUGAACUUAA
This 352-nucleotide unclassified non-coding RNA is filed under the name uncultured Phenoliferia. Its description in RNAcentral is "sequence contains ITS1". The stretch from base 1 to 105 matches the Rfam family "5.8S ribosomal RNA", at positions 50 to 154 of the family's 154-position model. The record is from RNAcentral. Lineage: Eukaryota; Fungi; Basidiomycota; Microbotryomycetes; Kriegeriales; Kriegeriaceae.